AACAGGAUAGCUCAGUUGGUUAGAGCAUGUUGCUGACAAUGCCAAGGUUGCAGGUUCAAUCCCUGACUGCUGUGU
This is a non-coding RNA of Podarcis lilfordi (Lilford's wall lizard), 75 nucleotides long. Lineage: Eukaryota; Metazoa; Chordata; Lepidosauria; Squamata; Lacertidae. The record is from the annotation of a GenBank genome assembly.